Molecule: ribosomal RNA, 402 nt
Filed under: uncultured prokaryote
Description: bacterial SSU rRNA
Rfam family: Bacterial small subunit ribosomal RNA
Source: RNAcentral
UGGGGAAUCUUAGACAAUGGGGGAAACCCUGAUCUAGCCAUGCCGCGUGAGCGAUGAAGGCCUUAGGGUUGUAAAGCUCUUUCAGUGGGGAAGAUAAUGACGGUACCCACAGAAGAAGCCCCGGCUAACUCCGUGCCAGCAGCCGCGGUAAUACGGAGGGGGCUAGCGUUGUUCGGAAUUACUGGGCGUAAAGCGCACGUAGGCGGAUUGGAAAGUUGGGGGUGAAAUCCCGGGGCUCAACCCCGGAACUGCCUUCAAAACUCCCAGUCUUGAGGUCGAGAGAGGUGAGUGGAAUUCCGAGUGUAGAGGUGAAAUUCGUAGAUAUUCGGAGGAACACCAGUGGCGAAGGCGGCUCACUGGCUCGAUACUGACGCUGAGGUGCGAAAGCGUGGGGAGCAAACA